Molecule: ribosomal RNA, 464 nt
Filed under: Vreelandella stevensii
Lineage: Bacteria; Pseudomonadati; Pseudomonadota; Gammaproteobacteria; Oceanospirillales; Halomonadaceae
Description: partial 16S ribosomal RNA
Rfam family: Bacterial small subunit ribosomal RNA
Source: RNAcentral
CUACGGCGGGCAGCAGUGGGGAAUAUUGGACAAUGGGCGAAAGCCUGAUCCAGCCAUGCCGCGUGUGUGAAGAAGGCCUUCGGGUUGUAAAGCACUUUCAGUGGGGAAGAAAGCCUUGGGGCUAAUACCCUCGAGGAAGGACAUCACCCACAGAAGAAGCACCGGCUAACUCCGUGCCAGCAGCCGCGGUAAUACGGAGGGUGCGAGCGUUAAUCGGAAUUACUGGGCGUAAAGCGCGCGUAGGCGGUCUGAUAAGCCGGUUGUGAAAGCCCCGGGCUCAACCUGGGAACGGCAUCCGGAACUGUCAGGCUAGAGUGCAGGAGAGGAAGGUAGAAUUCCCGGUGUAGCGGUGAAAUGCGUAGAGAUCGGGAGGAAUACCAGUGGCGAAGGCGGCCUUCUGGACUGACACUGACGCUGAGGUGCGAAAGCGUGGGUAGCAAACAGGAUUAGAUACCCCGGUAGUC